Molecule: ribosomal RNA, 408 nt
Filed under: Triticum aestivum (bread wheat)
Lineage: Eukaryota; Viridiplantae; Streptophyta; Magnoliopsida; Poales; Poaceae
Description: partial small subunit ribosomal RNA
Source: RNAcentral
AUGGAGAAAUACAUCGACCAGUGCCGAAUGUUCAUUUUCCACACCCCUCUGCAUUAUGGAUGGUGCUGUUAUAUUUUAGAUAUGCUGAGGAAGAGGAUUGUUGUUCUAGAUCCGCAAGCAGGCCCAUUUGGAUUUACAUCCGACAGAGUCAAAUUCCAUGAACAAAUCAGUCAUGCUAUCCAUGGGGCAUUCUUCAAAUGUGUGCAAACUUUAUUCUCAAGUUGGCCAUGCACUUCUGAUGGAUGGACCAGAGAGUUUCCUACUUUGAUGAUAGAAAAAAUUGCAAGUGAGGAGUCCGCCAUCUAUUCGUUAUUCAUGGCAAGGCACUAUGAGGCGAGACACUACGGAACCCGACCACGAAGGAAAACAUAUGUGCCUAUCGCCGAGCCAUCCUCCAAGACGUUCUGA